CGUGGACUCCAAAGUCCCAAAAUUCUUGUCUUCGAUUUGUCUAGAUAUGAAUGUAUCUAGUCACGUUUUAGUAUUUAGAUGCAUUCAUUUCUAGACAAACCUAAAACAAAAAUUUUGAGACGGAGGGGGUAAUUG
Molecule: microRNA precursor, 135 nt
Filed under: Hordeum vulgare
Lineage: Eukaryota; Viridiplantae; Streptophyta; Magnoliopsida; Poales; Poaceae
Description: microRNA MIR1122
Rfam family: MIR1120/MIR1122 microRNA precursor family
Source: RNAcentral